Non-coding RNA from Triticum aestivum (bread wheat), 135 nucleotides. Lineage: Eukaryota; Viridiplantae; Streptophyta; Magnoliopsida; Poales; Poaceae. The record is from Rfam.
GUAUUACUCACUCCGUCUAGAAAUAUUUGUCGUCAAAAUAAAUGAAAGAAGAUGUAUCUAGAUGUAUUUUAGUUCUAGAUACAUCUCUUUUUAUCUAUUUUGAUGACAAGUAUUUUCGGACGGAGGGAGUACUUU